ACUCCUACGGGAGGCAGCAGUGGGGAAUAUUGCACAAUGGGCGCAAGCCUGAUGCAGCCAUGCCGCGUGUGUGAAGAAGGCCUUGGGUUGUAAAGCACUUUCUAGUUGUGAGGAAGGUGGUGUCGUUAAUAGCGGCAUCAUUUGACGUUAGCAACAGAAGAAGCACCGGCUAACUCCGUGCCAGCAGCCGCGGUAAUACGGAGGGUGCGAGCGUUAAUCGGAAUUACUGGGCGUAAAGCGCAUGCAGGUGGUUUGUUAAGUCAGAUGUGAAAGCCCGGGGCGUCAACCUCGGAACUGCAUUUGAAACUGGCAGACUAGAGUACUGUAGAGGGGGUAGAAUUUCAGGUGUAGCGGUGAAAUGCGUAGAGAUCUGAAGGAAUACCGGUGGCGAAGGCGGCCCCUGGACAGAUACUGACACUCAGAUGCGAAAGCGUGGGAGCAAACAGGAUUAGAUACCCCUGGUAGCACAGAG
RNAcentral lists this ribosomal RNA (472 nucleotides) under uncultured bacterium. RNAcentral describes it as "bacterial SSU rRNA". It matches the Rfam family "Bacterial small subunit ribosomal RNA", at positions 335 to 799 of the family's 1533-position model. The record is from RNAcentral.